GACGAACGCUGGCGGCGUGCUUAACACAUGCAAGUCGAACGGAAAGGCCCUGCUUUUGUGGGGUGCUCGAGUGGCGAACGGGUGAGUAACACGUGAGUAACCUGCCCUUGACUUUGGGAUAACUUCAGGAAACUGGGGCUAAUACCGGAUAGGAGCCCCUGCUGCAUGGUGGGGGUUGGAAAGUUUCGGCGGUUGGGGAUGGACUCGCGGCUUAUCAGCUUGUUGGUGGGGUAGUGGCUUACCAAGGCUUUGACGGGUAGCCGGCCUGAGAGGGUGACUGGCCACAUUGGGACUGAGAUACGGCCCAGACUCCUACGGGAGGCAGCAGUGGGGAAUAUUGCACAAUGGGCGGAAGCCUGAUGCAGCAACGCCGCGUGCGGGAUGACGGCCUUCGGGUUGUAAACCGCUUUCGCCUGUGACGAAGCGUGAGUGACGGUAAUGGGUAAAGAAGCACCGGCUAACUACGUG
Molecule: ribosomal RNA, 468 nt
Filed under: uncultured bacterium
Lineage: Bacteria
Description: partial 16S ribosomal RNA
Rfam family: Bacterial small subunit ribosomal RNA
Source: RNAcentral